RNAcentral lists this ribosomal RNA (253 nucleotides) under uncultured bacterium. Its description in RNAcentral is "partial 16S ribosomal RNA". It matches the Rfam family "Bacterial small subunit ribosomal RNA", at positions 524 to 776 of the family's 1533-position model. The record is from RNAcentral.
UACAGAGGUCCCAAGCGUUGUUCGGAUUCACUGGGCGUAAAGGGUGCGUAGGUGGUCAGAUAAGUCUGAUGUGAAAGCUCUGGGCUCAACCCAGAAAUGGCAUUGGAUACUAUUUGGCUUGAGGAAUGGAGGGGGGACUGGAAUACUUGGUGUAGCAGUGAAAUGCGUAGAUAUCAAGUGGAACACCAGUGGCGAAGGCUAGUCCCUGGACAUUUCCUGACACUGAGGCACGAAAGCUAGGGGAGCGAACAGG